RNAcentral lists this ribosomal RNA (910 nucleotides) under uncultured marine archaeon. RNAcentral describes it as "bacterial SSU rRNA". It matches the Rfam family "Archaeal small subunit ribosomal RNA", at positions 6 to 922 of the family's 1478-position model. The record is from RNAcentral.
GGUUGAUCCUGCCGGACCUGACUGCUAUCGGAUUGAUACUAAGCCAUGCGAGUCUUUGCAGUAAUGCAAGGCAUACGGCUCAGUAACACGUAGUCAACUUACCCUAUGGACGAGGAUAAUCUCGGGAAACUGAGCAUAAUACUCGAUAGAUCAUAAUGCCUGGAAUGGUUUAUGGUUAAAAUGAUUCGUCGCCAUAGGAUGGGACUGCGGCCUAUCAGCUUGUUGGUGAGGUAAUGGCCCACCAAGGCGAUUACAGGUACGGGCUCUGAGAGGAGAAGCCCGGAGAUGGGUACUGAGACAAGGACCCAGGCCCUAUGGGGCGCAGCAGGCGAGAAAACUUUGCAAUGUGCGAAAGCACGACAAGGUUAGUCCGAGUGAUUUCUGCUAAAGAGAUCUUUUGCUAGUUAUAAAACCACUAGUGAAUAAGGGGUGGGCAAGUUCUGGUGUCAGCCGCCGCGGUAAAACCAGCACCUCAAGUGGUCAGGAUGAUUAUUGGGCCUAAAGCAUCCGUAGCCGGCUCUGUAAGUUUUCGGUUAAAUCUAUGCGCUCAACGUAUGGGCUGCCGAAAAUACUGUAGAGAUAGGGAGUGGGAGAGGUAGACGGUACUCGGUAGGAAGGGGUAAAAUCCUUUGAUCUAUCGAUGACCACCUGUGGCGAAGGCGGUCUACCAGAACACGUUCGACGGUGAGGGAUGAAAGCUGGGGGAGCAAACCGGAUUAGAUACCCGGGUAGUCCCAGCUGUAAACGAUGCAGACUCGAUGAUGCAUUGGCAUAUAGCCAGUGCAGUGUCGCAGGGAAGCCGUUAAGUCUGCCGCCUGGGAAGUACGUACGCAAGUAUGAAACUUAAAGGAAUUGGCGGGGGAGCACCACAAGGGGUGAAGCCUGCGGUUCAAUUGGAUUCAACGCCGGA